GACGAACGCGGCGGCGUGCCUAAUACAUGCAAGUAGAACGCUGAAGGAGGAGCUUGCUUCUCUGGAUGAGUUGCGAACGGGUGAGUAACGCGUAGGUAACCUGCCUGGUAGCGGGGGAUAACUAUUGGGAACGAUAGCUAAUACCGCAUAAGAGUAGAUGUUGCAUGACAUUUGCUUAAAAGGUGCAAUUGCAUCACUACCAGAUGGACCUGCGUUGUAUUAGCUAGUUGGUGGGGUAACGGCUCACCAAGGCGACGAUACAUAGCCGACCUGAGAGGGUGAUCGGCCACACUGGGACUGAGACACGGCCCAGACUCCUACGGGAGGCAGCAGUAGGGAAUCUUCGGCAAUGGACGGAAGUCUGACCGAGCAACGCCGCGUGAGUGAAGAAGGUUUUCGGAUCGUAAAGCUCUGUUGUAAGAGAAGAACGAGUGUGAGAGUGGAAAGUUCACACUGUGACGGUAUCUUACCAGAAAGGGACGGCUAACUACGUGCCAGCAGCCGCGGUAAUACGUAGGUGGCAAGCGUUAUCCGGAUUUAUUGGGCGUAAAGAGAGUGCAGGCGGUUUUCUAAGUCUGAUGUGAAAGCCUUCGGCUUAACCGGAGAAGUGCAUCGGAAACUGGAUAACUUGAGUGCAGAAGAGGGUAGUGGAACUCCAUGUGUAGCGGUGGAAUGCGUAGAUAUAUGGAAGAACACCAGUGGCGAAGGCGGCUACCUGGUCUGCAACUGACGCUGAGACUCGAAAGCAUGGGUAGCGAACAGG
This 763-nucleotide ribosomal RNA is filed under the name uncultured Streptococcus sp. RNAcentral describes it as "bacterial SSU rRNA". It matches the Rfam family "Bacterial small subunit ribosomal RNA", at positions 28 to 776 of the family's 1533-position model. Lineage: Bacteria; Bacillati; Bacillota; Bacilli; Lactobacillales; Streptococcaceae. The record is from RNAcentral.